This 20-nucleotide non-coding RNA is filed under the name Citrus sinensis (sweet orange). Its record names the gene csi-miR166c-3p. Lineage: Eukaryota; Viridiplantae; Streptophyta; Magnoliopsida; Sapindales; Rutaceae. RNAcentral also lists the same sequence under 8 other names. The record is from miRBase by way of RNAcentral.
UCGGACCAGGCUUCAUUCCC